RNAcentral lists this ribosomal RNA (473 nucleotides) under uncultured bacterium. Its description in RNAcentral is "bacterial SSU rRNA". It matches the Rfam family "Bacterial small subunit ribosomal RNA", at positions 38 to 507 of the family's 1533-position model. The record is from RNAcentral.
GGCGGCAUGCCUUACACAUGCAAGUCGAACGGCAGCACGGGAGCAAUCCUGGUGGCGAGUGGCGAACGGGUGAGUAAUAUAUCGGAACGUGCCCGGUCGUGGGGGAUAACGUAGCGAAAGCUACGCUAAUACCGCAUACGAUCUACGGAUGAAAGCGGGGGAUCGCAAGACCUCGCGCGAUUGGAGCGGCCGAUAUCAGAUUAGGUAGUUGGUGAGGUAAAGGCUCACCAAGCCGACGAUCUGUAGCUGGUCUGAGAGGACGACCAGCCACACUGGGACUGAGACACGGCCCAGACUCCUACGGGAGGCAGCAGUGGGGAAUUUUGGACAAUGGGCGCAAGCCUGAUCCAGCAAUGCCGCGUGCAGAAUGAAGGCCUUCGGGUUGUAAACUGCUUUGUACGGAACGAAACGGUGAGCUCUAAUACAGUUUGCUAAUGACGGUACCGUAAGAAUAAGCACCGGCUAACUACGUG